CCUACGGGAGGCUGCAGUGGGGAAUAUUGCACAAUGGGCGCAAGCCUGAUGCAGCCAUGCCGCGUGUGUGAAGAAGGCCUUCGGGUUGUAAAGCACUUUCAGCGGGGAGGAAGGCGUUAAGGUUAAUAACCUUGUCGAUUGACGUUACCCGCAGAAGAAGCACCGGCUAACUCCGUGCCAGCAGCCGCGGUAAUACGGAGGGUGCAAGCGUUAAUCGGAAUUACUGGGCGUAAAGCGCACGCAGGCGGUCUGUCAAGUCGGAUGUGAAAUCCCCGGGCUCAACCUGGGAACUGCAUUCGAAACUGGCAGGCUAGAGUCUUGUAGAGGGGGGUAGAAUUCCAGGUGUAGCGGUGAAAUGUGUAGAGAUCUGGAGGAAUACCGGUGGCGAAGGCGGCCCCCUGGACAAAGACUGACGCUCAGGUGCGAAAGCGUGGGGAGCAAACAGGAUUAGAUACCCUUGUAGUC
RNAcentral lists this ribosomal RNA (465 nucleotides) under uncultured Klebsiella sp. RNAcentral's name for it is "bacterial SSU rRNA". It matches the Rfam family "Bacterial small subunit ribosomal RNA", at positions 338 to 795 of the family's 1533-position model. Lineage: Bacteria; Pseudomonadati; Pseudomonadota; Gammaproteobacteria; Enterobacterales; Enterobacteriaceae. The record is from RNAcentral.